RNAcentral lists this ribosomal RNA (2903 nucleotides) under Escherichia coli. Its description in RNAcentral is "23S ribosomal RNA". It matches the Rfam family "Bacterial large subunit ribosomal RNA". Lineage: Bacteria; Pseudomonadati; Pseudomonadota; Gammaproteobacteria; Enterobacterales; Enterobacteriaceae. The record is from RNAcentral.
UUAAGCGACUAAGCGUACACGGUGGAUGCCCUGGCAGUCAGAGGCGAUGAAGGACGUGCUAAUCUGCGAUAAGCGUCGGUAAGGUGAUAUGAACCGUUAUAACCGGCGAUUUCCGAAUGGGGAAACCCAGUGUGUUUCGACACACUAUCAUUAACUGAAUCCAUAGGUUAAUGAGGCGAACCGGGGGAACUGAAACAUCUAAGUACCCCGAGGAAAAGAAAUCAACCGAGAUUCCCCCAGUAGCGGCGAGCGAACGGGGAGCAGCCCAGAGCCUGAAUCAGUAUGUGUGUUAGUGGAAGCGUCUGGAAAGGCGCGCGAUACAGGGUGACAGCCCCGUACACAAAAAUGCACAUAUUGUGAGCUCGAUGAGUAGGGCGGGACACGUGGUAUCCUGUCUGAAUAUGGGGGGACCAUCCUCCAAGGCUAAAUACUCCUGACUGACCGAUAGUGAACCAGUACCGUGAGGGAAAGGCGAAAAGAACCCCGGCGAGGGGAGUGAAAAAGAACCUGAAACCGUGUACGUACAAGCAGUGGGAGCACGCUUAGGCGUGUGACUGCGUACCUUUUGUAUAAUGGGUCAGCGACUUAUAUUCUGUAGCAAGGUUAACCGAAUAGGGGAGCCGAAGGGAAACCGAGUCUUAACUGGGCGUUAAGUUGCAGGGUAUAGACCCGAAACCCGGUGAUCUAGCCAUGGGCAGGUUGAAGGUUGGGUAACACUAACUGGAGGACCGAACCGACUAAUGUUGAAAAAUUAGCGGAUGACUUGUGGCUGGGGGUGAAAGGCCAAUCAAACCGGGAGAUAGCUGGUUCUCCCCGAAAGCUAUUUAGGUAGCGCCUCGUGAAUUCAUCUCCGGGGGUAGAGCACUGUUUCGGCAAGGGGGUCAUCCCGACUUACCAACCCGAUGCAAACUGCGAAUACCGGAGAAUGUUAUCACGGGAGACACACGGCGGGUGCUAACGUCCGUCGUGAAGAGGGAAACAACCCAGACCGCCAGCUAAGGUCCCAAAGUCAUGGUUAAGUGGGAAACGAUGUGGGAAGGCCCAGACAGCCAGGAUGUUGGCUUAGAAGCAGCCAUCAUUUAAAGAAAGCGUAAUAGCUCACUGGUCGAGUCGGCCUGCGCGGAAGAUGUAACGGGGCUAAACCAUGCACCGAAGCUGCGGCAGCGACACUAUGUGUUGUUGGGUAGGGGAGCGUUCUGUAAGCCUGUGAAGGUGUGCUGUGAGGCAUGCUGGAGGUAUCAGAAGUGCGAAUGCUGACAUAAGUAACGAUAAAGCGGGUGAAAAGCCCGCUCGCCGGAAGACCAAGGGUUCCUGUCCAACGUUAAUCGGGGCAGGGUGAGUCGACCCCUAAGGCGAGGCCGAAAGGCGUAGUCGAUGGGAAACAGGUUAAUAUUCCUGUACUUGGUGUUACUGCGAAGGGGGGGACGGAGAAGGCUAUGUUGGCCGGGCGACGGUUGUCCCGGUUUAAGCGUGUAGGCUGGUUUUCCAGGCAAAUCCGGAAAAUCAAGGCUGAGGCGUGAUGACGAGGCACUACGGUGCUGAAGCAACAAAUGCCCUGCUUCCAGGAAAAGCCUCUAAGCAUCAGGUAACAUCAAAUCGUACCCCAAACCGACACAGGUGGUCAGGUAGAGAAUACCAAGGCGCUUGAGAGAACUCGGGUGAAGGAACUAGGCAAAAUGGUGCCGUAACUUCGGGAGAAGGCACGCUGAUAUGUAGGUGAAGUCCCUCGCGGAUGGAGCUGAAAUCAGUCGAAGAUACCAGCUGGCUGCAACUGUUUAUUAAAAACACAGCACUGUGCAAACACGAAAGUGGACGUAUACGGUGUGACGCCUGCCCGGUGCCGGAAGGUUAAUUGAUGGGGUUAGCCGCAAGGCGAAGCUCUUGAUCGAAGCCCCGGUAAACGGCGGCCGUAACUAUAACGGUCCUAAGGUAGCGAAAUUCCUUGUCGGGUAAGUUCCGACCUGCACGAAUGGCGUAAUGAUGGCCAGGCUGUCUCCACCCGAGACUCAGUGAAAUUGAACUCGCUGUGAAGAUGCAGUGUACCCGCGGCAAGACGGAAAGACCCCGUGAACCUUUACUAUAGCUUGACACUGAACAUUGAGCCUUGAUGUGUAGGAUAGGUGGGAGGCUUAGAAGUGUGGACGCCAGUCUGCAUGGAGCCGACCUUGAAAUACCACCCUUUAAUGUUUGAUGUUCUAACGUUGACCCGUAAUCCGGGUUGCGGACAGUGUCUGGUGGGUAGUUUGACUGGGGCGGUCUCCUCCUAAAGAGUAACGGAGGAGCACGAAGGUUGGCUAAUCCUGGUCGGACAUCAGGAGGUUAGUGCAAUGGCAUAAGCCAGCUUGACUGCGAGCGUGACGGCGCGAGCAGGUGCGAAAGCAGGUCAUAGUGAUCCGGUGGUUCUGAAUGGAAGGGCCAUCGCUCAACGGAUAAAAGGUACUCCGGGGAUAACAGGCUGAUACCGCCCAAGAGUUCAUAUCGACGGCGGUGUUUGGCACCUCGAUGUCGGCUCAUCACAUCCUGGGGCUGAAGUAGGUCCCAAGGGUAUGGCUGUUCGCCAUUUAAAGUGGUACGCGAGCUGGGUUUAGAACGUCGUGAGACAGUUCGGUCCCUAUCUGCCGUGGGCGCUGGAGAACUGAGGGGGGCUGCUCCUAGUACGAGAGGACCGGAGUGGACGCAUCACUGGUGUUCGGGUUGUCAUGCCAAUGGCACUGCCCGGUAGCUAAAUGCGGAAGAGAUAAGUGCUGAAAGCAUCUAAGCACGAAACUUGCCCCGAGAUGAGUUCUCCCUGACUCCUUGAGAGUCCUGAAGGAACGUUGAAGACGACGACGUUGAUAGGCCGGGUGUGUAAGCGCAGCGAUGCGUUGAGCUAACCGGUACUAAUGAACCGUGAGGCUUAACCU